Molecule: ribosomal RNA, 476 nt
Filed under: uncultured bacterium
Lineage: Bacteria
Description: bacterial SSU rRNA
Rfam family: Bacterial small subunit ribosomal RNA
Source: RNAcentral
UGAACGCUGGCGGCAGGCCUAACACAUGCAAGUCGAGCGUGAAAAGCCUUCGGGCUGAGUAAAGCGGCGGACGGGUGAGUAACGCGUAGGAAUCUACCUGGUAGUGGGGGACAACAUGGGGAAACCCAUGCUAAUACCGCAUACGCCCUACGGGGGAAAGCGGGGGACCUUCGGGCCUCGCGCUAUCAGAUGAGCCUGCGUUGGAUUAGCUUGUUGGUGAGGUAAAAGCUCACCAAGGCGACGAUCCAUAGCUGGUCUGAGAGGAUGAUCAGCCACACUGGGACUGAGACACGGCCCAGACUCCUACGGGAGGCAGCAGUGGGGAAUAUUGCGCAAUGGGGGAAACCCUGACGCAGCCAUGCCGCGUGUGUGAAGAAGGCCCUAGGGUUGUAAAGCACUUUCAAUUGGGAAGAAAGGUUGUACGUUAAUAGCGUGCAGCUGUGACGUUACCUUUAGAAGAAGCACCGGCUAACUCC